RNAcentral lists this ribosomal RNA (445 nucleotides) under uncultured bacterium. RNAcentral's name for it is "bacterial SSU rRNA". It matches the Rfam family "Bacterial small subunit ribosomal RNA", at positions 329 to 792 of the family's 1533-position model. The record is from RNAcentral.
UGCCAGACUCCUACGGGAGGCAGCAGUGGGGAAUAUUGCACAAUGGGGGAAACCCUGAUGCAGCGACGCCGCGUGAGCGAUGAAGUAUUUCGGUAUGUAAAGCUCUAUCAGCAGGGAAGAAAAUGACGGUACCUGACUAAGAAGCCCCGGCUAACUCCGUGCCAGCAGCCGCGGUAAUACGGAGGAUGCGAGCGUUAUCCGGAUUUAUUGGGUUUAAAGGGUGCGUAGGCGGUCCGUUAAGUCAGCGGUAAAAUUGCGGGGCUCAACCCCGUCGAGCCGUUGAAACUGGCAGACUUGAGUUGGCGAGAAGUACGCGGAAUGCGCGGUGUAGCGGUGAAAUGCAUAGAUAUCGCGCAGAACUCCGAUUGCGAAGGCAGCGUACCGGCGCCAGACUGACGCUGAGGCACGAAAGCGUGGGUAUCGAACAGGAUUAGAUACCCUUGUA